Molecule: small RNA, 757 nt
Filed under: Pan troglodytes (chimpanzee)
Lineage: Eukaryota; Metazoa; Chordata; Mammalia; Primates; Hominidae
Description: retained intron
Source: RNAcentral
AAAAUAGAAUGAUUUUGCACCAUCUAAUCAAGCUAUUUGUCUCCCCACUCUCCCCAUCCCCCCUUUUUUUUUUAAAGAUUAAUGGGAUAGAGGUGCAGAACCGUGAAGAGGCUGUGGCUCUUCUAACCAGUGAAGAAAAUAAAAACUUUUCAUUGCUGAUUGCAAGGCCUGAACUCCAGCUGGAUGAGGGCUGGAUGGACGAUGACAGGAACGACUUUCUGGAUGACCUGCACAUGGACAUGCUGGAGGAGCAGCACCACCAGGCCAUGCAAUUCACAGCUAGCGUGCUUCAGCAGAAGAAGCACGACGAAGACGGUGGGACCACAGAUACAGCCACCAUCUUGUCCAACCAGCACGAGAAGGACAGCGGUGUGGGGCGGACCGACGAGAGCACCCGUAAUGACGAGAGCUCGGAGCAAGAGAACAAUGGCGACGACGCCACCGCAUCCUCCAACCCGCUGGCGGGGCAGAGGAAGCUCACCUGCAGCCAGGACACCUUGGGCAGCGGCGACCUGCCCUUCAGCAACGAGUCUUUCAUUUCGGCCGACUGCACGGACGCCGACUACCUGGGGAUCCCGGUGGACGAGUGCGAGCGCUUCCGCGAGCUCCUGGAGCUCAAGUGCCAGGUGAAGAGCGCCACCCCUUACGGCCUGUACUACCCUAGCGGCCCCCUGGACGCCGGCAAGAGUGACCCUGAGAGCGUGGACAAGGAGCUGGAGCUGCUGAACGAGGAGCUGCGCAGCAUCGAGCUGGAGUG